UACGGAGGGGGCUAGCGUUGUUCGGAAUUACUGGGCGUAAAGCGCACGUAGGCGGCGAUUUAAGUCAGGGGUGAAAGCCCGGGGCUCAACCCCGGAAUUGCCUUUGAGACUGGAUUGCUAGAAUCUUGGAGAGGCGAGUGGAAUUCCGAGUGUAGAGGUGAAAUUCGUAGAUAUUCGGAAGAACACCAGUGGCGAAGGCGGCUCGCUGGACAAGUAUUGACGCUGAGGUGCGAAAGCGUGGGGAGCAAACAGG
Molecule: ribosomal RNA, 253 nt
Filed under: uncultured bacterium
Lineage: Bacteria
Description: partial 16S ribosomal RNA
Rfam family: Bacterial small subunit ribosomal RNA
Source: RNAcentral